GUUCCCGGAUGUUGGUGUGGGGAGCGCCCGGGGCUGGCGAGUUCGUGGGGAAAGGUGUUGGUGGGGCUGCUCCAGGCAACCUCCGCAGUCAAAACGGCGGGUAGAGCCCUCAGUCAUGCCAUGGCCUUCUACAAUCGCCUGAUUCAGGGACACUUGUGACAAAAUUUGGCCCUUGUAACAAGCGUUUUCUCUAACAAUAACGUGGAGUUUUCACUUGGUUUUUUUUAUCCUAUGAGGAUCUGGUUUUUUGUUUCAUUUUUUUCUUGUCUGGUUUUGGUUUUGUAACGCCCUUGAAAAAUUCCUUUUCUUUUGGGCAACAUCAGGAAUCGUGGUCACAGGACAAGGGACUUCAAACUGAAAGAAAAUAGAUUUGGAUUAGGUUUGAACCCAUUGAUCCAUUUCAACCAAUAUUGAUAAAAGUAGUACACGUAUAGGAAGGAUUCUUCUAGGCAGCAUGAUAACAGAUGACCGUCUGUUUUUUACUCCAUUCUCAAGAAGACUUCAGUAUGAUUUUUAAACCCCUGUAAUAUUGAGAAGGGAAAAAAAACAACCCAAACCCCUCUUUAUCGUUGACAAAAAACUCAACAUGAGCCAACAGUGUGGGCUGGCAGCCCAAAAAGCCAGAGAUAUCCUGGACUGCAUCAAAAGGAAUGUGGACAGCAGGGCAAGGGAGGUGAUUCUGUCCCUGUACUCUCUGUUCUUGUGAGACCAUACCUGGAGUGCUGCAUCCAGCUCUGGUGCCUCCAAAGUAAGAAGAACAGUGUUGGAGCAGGGAAGGCCGUGAAGUAAUAAGGGGACUGGAAGAACUCCCCUAUGAAGACAGGCUGAGAAAAUUGGUGCUCUUUCCCAUUUUACACUGUAAGUUUUCAGUAAUUGCAGAGGUGACUUGUGAUUAUCAAUGAAGCUACAGCUUUGAAGCUGCACAAGUAAGAUAAUUUUUCCAUUUUUUUUUAAUGUAAAUGAAUAGUUGACUAGAUAUAAAUAAACCAAAUGCGUAAGUAGAUAUCACUUUAUGUUAAUAAACACAAGAAAAGUAUGCUUUGAAGAGGGAUUUAUUUAGAUUUCAGAAAAAUGCAUAUUUUAUCUGUGGUUGUGAUUAGAAUGACUGAUAUAAAGAAGUACGAAUAGAGCAUUAGCUCAGUUGCUCACAAGUCCUGGCAGCAGUUCAAGGCUACUUAGAAUAAGUCAAUUUCAUUGUCCCUGUCCAAGAAGAUAAAACUAAGCCACAGUAACUAUCAAGUUACUGUCUUUUCUUCUAGAUUUCUCAUGUUUCAGCAUAUGUAAGCAUAUUCAGCUUUCUGUUCAUUUAGUCCACGUUAGGGAUUAUUUUUAUACAAAAGAGGUAAAUAUCCCAUUUUGGGGGAGUGAGAUUGUAUGAAUGUUAAUGAAGUCUGUUGAAAUCUUAAUGUAAUAGAGGCAAUAGCACUACAACAGAGAGUGAGAGAAACACUCUAGAAAAAUGUUUGGUAACAAUUGAACCAGAGAUUUACAGCUUUUGAAAUUAUAAAAAAAUUCAGUAUAAUUAAAGGCAGACAUAGGGAGACAUGUUGACUUACACCACCUUUUUUUCCAACCCACUUUUAAUUGUUGAUACACAGCAAUUUCAUUAUGUCUGUAUGUUUCUUACUGUCUGGGUGCACAGUUUCAAUACACUCCAGAUGAGGAAUUUUCCUUUUGAUUUGGUAUAAGAAUGGGGGUUCUCUCUUCAAACACGUUGCUUCAGGUAUGAGAGUUAUUGUGCAGAAAUAAAGUAUUACAAAUAGAGAUCAGGGUUGCAAUUAUAAGACUCUUAUCUUUGGCCUUUUACUUACUGUUUCAGUCUGUUACUCCUUUAUCUUGUUACAAACAUGACUUCAAGCAUUGUACUCAACUGCAGUGAACUUUUCUGUGGGAAUAUUUUCAACAUUCAAGAACGGAAUGCAAAAUAUUCUCUGUCCUGUUUGCACCAUUUCAAUACUCCUAGCAAUCUGCGCAGCAAACUCAGCCUUGCUAUUUGCCUGGCUAUUAGACGGGACAGUCAAAUGUAAUCAAAUUCUUGUUCUCAAAUAAAUAUAUGAUCUAAUUUAAGGCAAACUGAGAUCUCGUGAUUGCAAGCACAUAGUUCAGGCAUGCUUAAACACUUCACUGCUCUACCCUCAAUGGGUACUGGAUAAGUCUCUGACAUUUUGCCUGGUUCUUAUAAGUCUGACUAAUAUAUACUAUAUAUAAAAAUAUAGUAGCCUAUAAUUUUAAGGUGUGUUUCCAUGUUUUGUAAGAUGUAAUCUUUAGUCUGCUCUAAUGCCUGUUGAAAAUGCUAUAUGGUUCUGUUUUAUUUUGCCGUAUGUACUAGGAUUCAAUUUCUUUUCUUUUUUUUUUUUUCUUUUUCCUCAGAUAUAAUAAUUACUCAUGCUUUAUCCCAUCUUGUUAUUACACGGUGUUUAUUUCUAUUCCAGACUGACCCCAUUCUCAAGAGAAUUUCUAUUCUUGGCAUCUAGGGUAUGAUGAUUCAGUUGCUGAAAUAAAAUACUCUUAUGUUCCA
Long non-coding RNA from Catharus ustulatus (Swainson's thrush), 2518 nucleotides. RefSeq lists it as uncharacterized. NCBI's taxonomy places the organism in Eukaryota, Metazoa, Chordata, Aves, Passeriformes, Turdidae. The transcript is spliced from 2 exons. The record is from RefSeq and is a predicted model, not a curated record.